This 213-nucleotide long non-coding RNA is filed under the name Helianthus annuus (common sunflower). RNAcentral's name for it is "sRNA HanXRQr2_Chr06g0246691". Lineage: Eukaryota; Viridiplantae; Streptophyta; Magnoliopsida; Asterales; Asteraceae. The record is from RNAcentral.
GAAACCCUAGCAGCAAUCCUUUUGGAGUUCGAUAAUCACCAACAGGAGACCCCCACCCUUUUGUUGAAGCCUCUUUCCUUAGAGAUCAACUUUGUGUCUAGUAAAUAUUAAUGUUCUGGGACUAACUGAUUAACCUGGAAUACGUGCUAUAACCUUACCGAGCAAAACAAAGGUCGUUAGGUACUUGAAUUGGGAACUUGCUGUCUGGAGUAG